This 839-nucleotide unclassified non-coding RNA is filed under the name Hevea brasiliensis (rubber tree). The record is from RNAcentral. Lineage: Eukaryota; Viridiplantae; Streptophyta; Magnoliopsida; Malpighiales; Euphorbiaceae.
GGGAGUGUCAUAUUAUAUUCCCAAGUAUAUUACGAAACAGAAAAUUUGAGGGAAAGCACAAAGAAGAUGACCAACUUUAGCGGCUGCAGCAAUCUCGUGAUGAAGCUCAUUUUCAUCUUCAUCUUCUUCUUCAUACUUCAAACGUCAAUGGCUGAAGGAUACAAUAAUAUCAACCCAAUUUACGACUUGGCCAGCAGAGAAGAAAUGGUGAGAUUGGCUGGUUAUGGAGAGGAAAAGCUUUCAACCGUCCUUAUCACUGGCACCGUUCUCUGCGCGGCUUGUUUGCAUGGUGAACCUCAGCUUCUAGCAUGGCCAGUUUCAGGUGCUUUGGUUACCAUCAACUGUGACACGGAAGAGAAGUGGAGCAAAACAACUUCUGCACAAGUUGUAACUGAUGAAUAUGGAGAUUUCCAAAUUGAUCUUCCUUCCCAUCUCCACGCAAUUCCCAACUUGGAGAGAAUAUGCUCAGUCAAGGUUAUGAGAAUACCAAAGAACUCGGCCUGCCUACCUGCCUUUGCAACAAAACACAUGGCACUGAAGUUAUCUUCAGCUAGGAAUGGCAUCCGCAAUUACACUGCAGGAAAGAUUACAUUUCUGCAUUUGAGAUCUAGACCUUUAUCAGCUUGCACAAACAGGGAGAGAAGUGAUGACCAGCUUGCAUUAUAGAUUCCCGUUUCUUGAGCAGAAGAUUGGGACAGAACCCUAAGGCUCAUUUGGAUGGCGCUUCAGUCACAGCAAUGAGUUGCAAGUGUUCAAUUCCAGUCUUGUCAGUUUUAAAACUCAUACGUGUAGAGAGAGAGAGAGAGAGAGUGUCAAGUUUGAGAAUUGAGAGAAAAUGG